This 459-nucleotide ribosomal RNA is filed under the name uncultured bacterium. RNAcentral's name for it is "partial 16S ribosomal RNA". It matches the Rfam family "Bacterial small subunit ribosomal RNA", at positions 338 to 795 of the family's 1533-position model. The record is from RNAcentral.
CCUACGGGUGGCAGCAGUGAGGAAUAUUGGUCAAUGGACGAGAGUCUGAACCAGCCAAGUAGCGUGAAGGAUGACUGCCCUAUGGGUUGUAAACUUCUUUUAUAUGGGAGUAAAAUGUUCCACGUGUGGACUUUUGUAUGUACCAUAUGAAUAAGGAUCGGCUAACUCCGUGCCAGCAGCCGCGGUAAUACGGAGUGUCCGAGCGUUAUCCGGAUUGAUUGGGUUUAACGGGAGAGUAGGGGGAUUGUUAAGUCAGUUGUGAAAGUUUGCGGCUCAACCGUAAAAUUGCAGUUGAAACUGGAAGUCUUGAGGACAGUAGAGGUGGGCGGAAUUGUGGUGUAGCGGUGAAAUGCUUAGAUAUCACGAAGAACUCCGAUUGCGAAGGCAGCUCACUGGACUGCAACUGACACUGAGGCUCGAAAGUGUGGGUAUCAAACAGGAUUAGAUACCCUUGUAGUC